UGGAUCACCUCCUAACAGGGAGACAACAAAAUGUUUAAUAUUAUUAUUUUGUCACCUUAGGUCGAUCGGUAUCUCACGUUUUUAAUUUAUUAAGAAUUUCAUUUCCUAAGUUUUUCUAGGUCACACCCAUUAUUUUUCCUGGGCCAUUAGCUCAGGUGGUUAGAGCGCACCCCUGAUAAGGGUGAGGUCCCUGGUUCAAGUCCAGGAUGGCCCAUAUCUCUAUGUUGGGGGUAUAGCUCAGUUGGUAGAGCGCCUGCUUUGCAAGCAGGAUGUCAGCGGUUCGAGUCCGCUUACCUCCACUGAUUACCACCUCUUCCAUAAAUGAAGAAAGGAAAUGUUUUGAGUUGUGAUCAAAUACUGAACGAAUCUAGCUUCCUAAUGAAAUUAUUAAGAUGCUGGAUUCAUUGAAUUAAUUUCAUUGUUUUCAGAGAACCUUGACAACUGCAUAGAUUAUUUUUAAAGACAAUAAGCAUCUUUAAUGAUGCAGAUUUAUUAUUUGUGCGAAUGCAUUAAUAACAAUUCUAUUAAGCUGAUGCUUCAAUUUUUGAAGUUAUUGGUCAAGCUACAAAGGGCUCACGGAGGAUACCUAGGCACACAGAGGCGAUGAAGG
RNAcentral lists this transfer RNA (610 nucleotides) under uncultured Prochlorococcus sp. RNAcentral describes it as "partial contains 16S ribosomal RNA, 16S-23S ribosomal RNA intergenic spacer, and 23S ribosomal RNA". The stretch from base 227 to 299 matches the Rfam family "tRNA". Lineage: Bacteria; Bacillati; Cyanobacteriota; Cyanophyceae; Synechococcales; Prochlorococcaceae. The record is from RNAcentral.